Molecule: ribosomal RNA, 1401 nt
Filed under: metagenome
Description: bacterial SSU rRNA
Rfam family: Bacterial small subunit ribosomal RNA
Source: RNAcentral
AGAGUUUGAUCCUGGCUCAGGAUGAACGCUAGCGGCAGGCCUAACACAUGCAAGUCGAACGGUAACAGUCUCUUCGGAGAGCUGACGAGUGGCGCACGGGUGUGUAACGCGUAUGCAACCUACCUCUAACUGGAGAAUAGCCCGGGGAAACUCGGAUUAAUACUCCAUAGUAUCAAGAUUUCUCCUGAUAUCUUGAUUAAAGUUCUGGCGGUUAGAGAUGGGCAUGCGUCCUAUUAGUUAGUUGGCGAGGUAACGGCUCACCAAGACAGCGAUAGGUAGGGGGUCUGAGAGGAUGAUCCCCCACACUGGUACUGAGACACGGACCAGACUCCUACGGGAGGCAGCAGUGAGGAAUAUUGGGCAAUGGACGAAAGUCUGACCCAGCCAUGCCGCGUGCAGGAUGACGGCCCUAUGGGUUGUAAACUGCUUUUAUAUGGGAAGAAACCCCUCUACGUGUAGAGGGCUGACGGUACCAUACGAAUAAGCAUCGGCUAACUCCGUGCCAGCAGCCGCGGUAAUACGGAGGAUGCAAGCGUUAUCCGGAUUUAUUGGGUUUAAAGGGUCCGUAGGCGGGCUUUUAAGUCAGUGGUGAAAGCCUACAGCUUAACUGUAGAAUUGCCGUUGAUACUGGAAGUCUUGAGUAUAGUUGAAGUGGGCGGAAUACGUCAUGUAGCGGUGUAAUGCAUAGAUAUGACGUAGAACACCUAUUGCGAAGGCAGCUCACUAAGCUAAAACUGACGCUGAGGGACGAAAGCGUGGGGAGCAAACAGGAUUAGAUACCCUGGUAGUCCACGCUGUAAACUAUGAUCACUCGCUGUUAGCGAUACACAGUUAGCGGCUAAGCGAAAGCGUUAAGUGAUCCACCUGGGGAGUACGUUCGCAAGAAUGAAACUCAAAGGAAUUGACGGGGGCCCGCACAAGCGGUGGAGCAUGUGGUUUAAUUCGAUAUACGCGAAGAACCUUACCUAGCCUUGACAUAUAUUAGAACACCCUAGAGAUAGAGUGGUGCCUUCGGGAGCUUUUAUACAGGUGCUGCACGGCUGUCGUCAGCUCGUGUCGUGAGAUGUUGGGUUAAGUCCCGCAACGAGCGCAACCCUCGUCACUAGUUACUAACGGUUCGGCCGAGGACUCUAGUGAGACUGCCUUCGUAAGGAGGAGGAAGGUGAGGACGACGUCAAGUCAUCAUGGCCCUUACGGCUAGGGCAACACACGUGCUACAAUGGCCAGGACAGUGAGACGCGAUACCGAGAGGUGGAGCAAAUCUAUAAACCUGGCCUCAGUUCGGAUUGUAGUCUGCAACUCGACUACAUGAAGCUGGAAUCACUAGUAAUCGUAGAUCAGCUAUGCUACGGUGAAUACGUUCCCGGGUCUUGUACUCACCGCCCGUCACACCAUGGGAGU